GGGCAAAUCCUGUAGCUUGGACUUUAUACGGGCUUGUCGCGUCCCAGUAUGGUGAUGAUGUAAGACUGGUGAAACUAUCCGAUGGAAUUCAGUCACUUCCAGCAAACCUUUUGGUGAAGAAUGUAUUUGGAUACAGGCAUGAUUUCAUUGGGGUUGCUGGUUUUAUGGUUGUUAGCUUUAGCCUGCUGUUUGCAGUGAUUUUUGCAUAUGCAAUAAAAUCAUUCAAUUUCCAGAAGAGGUAAUUUGAAGGAAAUGAAGAUGAUACCACUCAAUUUAUAAUUCACCAAUUAUGGUCUUGGAUGAUUCCUUUUAUACUAAGCAACAUAUAGUUAAUUAACUAUAAUUUGUCAUUCCAUUUUUUAAGAAUUGACUU
Molecule: unclassified non-coding RNA, 373 nt
Filed under: Hevea brasiliensis (rubber tree)
Lineage: Eukaryota; Viridiplantae; Streptophyta; Magnoliopsida; Malpighiales; Euphorbiaceae
Source: RNAcentral